AGUCGCUCGGCUCGGCCGGGGACGCCGGACUUGCCGCGUACGGAGACCUCGUCGCCGCGUUCGAGGCCCGUGACGGCUACC
Molecule: transfer RNA, 81 nt
Filed under: Streptomyces longisporoflavus
Lineage: Bacteria; Bacillati; Actinomycetota; Actinomycetes; Kitasatosporales; Streptomycetaceae
Description: tRNA-Gly
Source: RNAcentral